Molecule: ribosomal RNA, 870 nt
Filed under: Pediococcus acidilactici
Lineage: Bacteria; Bacillati; Bacillota; Bacilli; Lactobacillales; Lactobacillaceae
Description: bacterial SSU rRNA
Rfam family: Bacterial small subunit ribosomal RNA
Source: RNAcentral
UGGAAAGCCUUCGGCUCAACCGAAGAAGUGCAUUGGAAACUGGGAGACUUGAGUGCAGAAGAGGACAGUGGAACUCCAUGUGUAGCGGUGAAAUGCGUAGAUAUAUGGAAGAACACCAGUGGCGAAGGCGGCUGUCUGGUCUGUAACUGACGCUGAGGCUCGAAAGCAUGGGUAGCGAACAGGAUUAGAUACCCUGGUAGUCCAUGCCGUAAACGAUGAUUACUAAGUGUUGGAGGGUUUCCGCCCUUCAGUGCUGCAGCUAACGCAUUAAGUAAUCCGCCUGGGGAGUACGACCGCAAGGUUGAAACUCAAAAGAAUUGACGGGGGCCCGCACAAGCGGUGGAGCAUGUGGUUUAAUUCGAAGCUACGCGAAGAACCUUACCAGGUCUUGACAUCUUCUGCCAACCUAAGAGAUUAGGCGUUCCCUUCGGGGACAGAAUGACAGGUGGUGCAUGGUUGUCGUCAGCUCGUGUCGUGAGAUGUUGGGUUAAGUCCCGCAACGAGCGCAACCCUUAUUACUAGUUGCCAGCAUUCAGUUGGGCACUCUAGUGAGACUGCCGGUGACAAACCGGAGGAAGGUGGGGACGACGUCAAAUCAUCAUGCCCCUUAUGACCUGGGCUACACACGUGCUACAAUGGAUGGUACAACGAGUCGCGAAACCGCGAGGUUUAGCUAAUCUCUUAAAACCAUUCUCAGUUCGGACUGUAGGCUGCAACUCGCCUACACGAAGUCGGAAUCGCUAGUAAUCGCGGAUCAGCAUGCCGCGGUGAAUACGUUCCCGGGCCUUGUACACACCGCCCGUCACACCAUGAGAGUUUGUAACACCCAAAGCCGGUGGGGUAACCUUUUAGGAGCUAGCCGUCUAAGUG